UAGCAGCCGCGGUAAUACGUAGGUGGCAAGCGUUGUCCGGAUUUACUGGGCGUAAAGGAUGCGUAGGCGGAUACUUAAGUCAGAUGUGAAAAUCCCGGGCUUAACUUGGGAACUGCAUUUGAAACUGGGUAUCUAGAGUGCGGGAGAGGAAAGUGGAAUUCCUAGUGUAGCGGUGAAAUGCGUAGAGAUUAGGAAGAACACCAGUGGCGAAGGCGACUUUCUGGACCGUAACUGACGCUGAGGCAUGAAAGCGUGGGGAGCAAACAGGAUUAGAAACCCCUGUAGUCC
This 288-nucleotide ribosomal RNA is filed under the name uncultured bacterium. RNAcentral describes it as "partial 16S ribosomal RNA". It matches the Rfam family "Bacterial small subunit ribosomal RNA", at positions 509 to 796 of the family's 1533-position model. The record is from RNAcentral.